UGCAUUACAAACAAGGCUAGAAAAGGAACAGCAAAAUCAGGUGCUCCGCUGAAGAUAAGCAGAACAAUAAACGAUGAAAGGAUACACUCUUUCAGGUCGUUAUUGAAGUCUGGAUUUCUAGUCUGUCAGUGCUGAUUCUGGGGCUAGCCUCACAUCUGCAGCAUUCAGUCCUUGACUGGCCAUGGAGCAUGCCAAAGGGAGGAAUAACAAAAUGGGAGCUGCCACGCUUGAUCAGACUCAUGGUUCAUCUGACUGUGGCCAAUACCAGAUGUUUCAGAGGAAGGUGCAAGCAACUGCAUAGUGAAAAAGCAUUGAAUAAUCUGUUCUUCCUAAAUCCCCAUCAAUUAGGCACUGUUUGAUGGCCUGAACUGUUUAUAUCUUUCAUUUAAUAAAAAGAAAAUGUUUAAUCCUG
Molecule: long non-coding RNA, 412 nt
Organism: Malaclemys terrapin pileata
Lineage: Eukaryota; Metazoa; Chordata; Testudines; Emydidae
Exons: 2
Source: RefSeq, a predicted model, not a curated record